RNAcentral lists this ribosomal RNA (242 nucleotides) under Francisella tularensis subsp. holarctica. Its description in RNAcentral is "partial 16S ribosomal RNA". It matches the Rfam family "Bacterial small subunit ribosomal RNA", at positions 1193 to 1434 of the family's 1533-position model. The record is from RNAcentral. Lineage: Bacteria; Pseudomonadati; Pseudomonadota; Gammaproteobacteria; Thiotrichales; Francisellaceae.
UGUUGGCCCGUCCGCCGAGGGCUACACUCGUGCUACAAUGGGUAUUAGAGAGGGCUGCGAAGGUGCGAGCUGGAGCGAAACUCAAAAAGGUUCUCUUAGUCCGGAUUGCAGUCUGCAACUCGACUGGAUGAAGUCGGAAUCGCUAGUGAUCGCAGGUCAGAAUACUGCGGUGUCUACGUUCCCGGGUCUGGUACAGUCCGCCCGUCACACCAGGGGAGUGGGUUGCUCCGGAAGUCGGGGGC